This 477-nucleotide ribosomal RNA is filed under the name uncultured bacterium. RNAcentral describes it as "partial 16S ribosomal RNA". It matches the Rfam family "Bacterial small subunit ribosomal RNA", at positions 30 to 507 of the family's 1533-position model. The record is from RNAcentral.
AUUGAACGCUGGCGGCAUGCCUUACACAUGCAAGUCGAACGGUAACAGGUUAAGCUGACGAGUGGCGAACGGGUGAGUCAUACAUCGGAACGUGCCCAGGAGUGGGGGAUAGCCCGGCGAAAGCCGGAUUAAUACUGCAUACGACCUAAGGGGGAAAGGGGGGGAGCGCAAGACCUUUCGCUAUUUGAGCGGCCGAUGUCAGAUUAGCUAGUUGGGGGGGUAAAAGCUCACCAAGGCGACGAUCUGUAGCUGGUCUGAGAGGACGACCAGCCACACUGGGACUGAGACACGGCCCAGACUCCUACGGGAGGCAGCAGUGGGGAAUUUUGGACAAUGGGCGCAAGCCUGAUCCAGCCAUGCCGCGUGCGGGAAGAAGGCCUUCGGGUUGUAAACCGCUUUUGUCAGGGAAGAAAUCCUUUGGGUUAAUACCUCGGGGGGAUGACGGUACCUGAAGAAUAAGCACCGGCUAACUACGUG